GUUUCUUCUGGAGAUCCACUCUGCAGGAGUUUCAUAAAUGAGCCCAGGAUAUGGGUUCCUGUCCUGCUGUCUGGGGGAGAGUUUUGGCAGCCUGCCCAACCAACUGUUGCCCGGAGGACUCCCAGGUGUGGGGAUGAGUGGCAUUGGCAUCGACAUAACUGAUGGCUCUCAAUAUGCUGCAUCAGUAAAAGCACACAGACAAAUGAGGCUGGCCAUGGAGUCACACCAGCCUCAGCAGGACCUGUACAGAUCAGCCAUCAUCACUACGGUUGCACAACCUUGCACAAGUGAGAAGUGGACUCUGGGCAGUGAGAUCUGCACUACGAGAUAACAUUGUCCUGAUGUGCCACAGGGGAAAUGCAGUUCAUCCCACAGAGAACAUCAAGAUUCUGAGCCAAUCUUCCAGCUCAUGGAGAAUGGUUUUCCACUCAGCCAUUAGGUACCAUCAAGCCUACAACUGUUUGCUCCAGCCACAGAUCCUGAGAGUGUUCAAUCUAUGAAAUGUGUAAAGCAACAUUCAAAAAAAGCUUACUGGAGCAGACUGAAGUCAAAGCCACUGAGUGUUCUUCUCAGCGCUAUUAGGAAAUUAUAGUGACUAAUGAGUACUGAGUUGUUAGAGAGGUGGCUGAUGGAUUAAGGACUAUUGCUUUCAGCAUCCUAUGAAUAUGCUGACCCACACAAGAGAAAACCCACAAGUUUGUAAGAGUUUCCCUUUCUAGACUAUACCGUAUCUCAGUGAAAUUUUGACUUCAUAAAAAAUAACUCCCUACUGGAUGGUUAUCCAUCUAAAUUGUGUCCACAUGUAAUAAGCCUGGCUUAUGCAUACUUCUGACA
Lagopus muta (rock ptarmigan) is the source of this 834-nucleotide long non-coding RNA. RefSeq lists it as uncharacterized. The record is from RefSeq and is a predicted model, not a curated record. Lineage: Eukaryota; Metazoa; Chordata; Aves; Galliformes; Phasianidae. The transcript has 4 exons.